Molecule: ribosomal RNA, 497 nt
Filed under: uncultured bacterium
Lineage: Bacteria
Description: partial 16S ribosomal RNA
Rfam family: Bacterial small subunit ribosomal RNA
Source: RNAcentral
GACGAACGCUGGCGGCGUGCCUAAUACAUGCAAGUUGAGCGCUGAAGGUUGGUACUUGUACCGACUGGAUGAGCAGCGAACGGGUGAGUAACGCGUGGGGAAUCUGCCUUUGAGCGGGGGACAACAUUUGGAAACGAAUGCUAAUACCGCAUAAAAACUUUAAACACAAGUUUUAAGUUUGAAAGGUGCAAUUGCAUCACUCAAAGAUGAUCCCGCGUUGUAUUAGCUAGUUGGUGAGGUAAAGGCUCACCAAGGCGAUGAUACAUAGCCGACCUGAGAGGGUGAUCGGCCACAUUGGGACUGAGACACGGCCCAAACUCCUACGGGAGGCAGCAGUAGGGAAUCUUCGGCAAUGGACGAAAGUCUGACCGAGCAACGCCGCGUGAGUGAAGAAGGGUUUCGGAUCGUAAAACUCUGUUGGUAGAGAAGAACGUUGGUGAGAGUGGAAAGCUCAUCAAGUGACGGUAACUACCCAGAAAGGGACGGCUAACUACGUG